GUAAGCUCACAUCCCUUCGGGGCGUCUUACGAGGUGCUGCAUGGUUGUCGUCAGCUCGUGCCGUGAGGUGUCGGGUUAAGUCCCAUAACGAGCGCAACCCCUACCUUUAGUUGCUAACAGGUCAUGCUGGGGACUCUAAAGGAACUGCCUACGCAAGUAGUGAGAAAGGCGGGGAUGACGUCAAAUCAGCACGGCCCUUACGUCCAGGGCUACACACGUGCUACAAUGGCCGAUACAGAGGGCAGCUACCAGGUGACUGGAUGCAAAUCUCCAAAGUCGGUCUCAGUUCGGAUCGGAGUCUGCAACCCGACUCCGUGAAGUUGGAUUCGCUAGUAAUCGCGCAUCAGCCAUGGCGCGGUGAAUACGUUCCCGGGCCUUGUACACACCGCCCGUCAAGCCAUGGAAGCUGGGGGGACCUAAAGUCGAUAACCGUUAAGGAGUCGCCUAGGGUAAAACCAGUGACUGGGGCUAAGUCGUAACAAGGUAGCCGUACCGGAAGG
This 500-nucleotide ribosomal RNA is filed under the name uncultured bacterium. RNAcentral's name for it is "bacterial SSU rRNA". It matches the Rfam family "Bacterial small subunit ribosomal RNA", at positions 1003 to 1512 of the family's 1533-position model. The record is from RNAcentral.